UACGGAGGGUGCGAGCGUUGUUCGGAAUCACUGGGCGUAAAGGGCGUGUAGGCGGUUCGCUAAGUCUGAUGUGAAAGCCCGGGGCUCACCCCCGGAAGUGCAUUGGAAACUGGCGAACUCGAGUCCCGGAGAGGAAGGUGGAAUUCCUGGUGUAGCGGUGAAAUGCGUAGAUAUCAGGAGGAACACCGGUGGCGAAGGCGGCCUUCUGGACGGUGACUGACGCUGAGACGCGAAAGCGUGGGGAGCAAACAGG
RNAcentral lists this ribosomal RNA (253 nucleotides) under uncultured bacterium. RNAcentral's name for it is "partial 16S ribosomal RNA". It matches the Rfam family "Bacterial small subunit ribosomal RNA", at positions 524 to 776 of the family's 1533-position model. The record is from RNAcentral.